This 101-nucleotide transfer RNA is filed under the name Actinomycetota bacterium. Its description in RNAcentral is "tRNA-OTHER". Lineage: Bacteria; Bacillati; Actinomycetota. The record is from RNAcentral.
GGGCUCGCCGUUCGACUCAGUCCGACGGUGACAGACACCAGGAACCGUCCUGGAAUUCCCUGACACGGAAGAGGUCACAAGUUCAAAUCUUGUACGGCCCA